AUGGAUACACGGAAGGUCGCGUCAGCAUCUGCAGCCGUGUUGACCAGCAAAAGAGGCACAUGUCGUAGACUAAACCAACGAGGUAUGCCCUCCUCUCCUUCCUGCAGUGAAUCGCUGGUAGCUUUUGAUGUUGUAUCCAUACUCAUGCUUAAUCUAACAGGUGAAACUGUACAGCCUGAUGCACCACAACCACCAGAGGAAAUUGCUCACAACAUCUACUUCUGGAGCGGUGAGUUCACAGUAGAUGGCAGUCCACUCAGAAGUUUCAACGACCCAGAGCAUAGCAUCAUGAAGUCUGAAUGCCCAACUGAGCUUGCGCCGGCUGAUGGGAUGUCUAAGGUGAACGUAAAUCUUGUCCGUAAAGAAGAAAAAUGUCUUGAGCCAGUCAAGCGCCCUGCCCCAUUUCAAGGAGGGGGAAGAAUUCUCGCUGCACCAUAUGAAAACUCUGCUCCUACGGAUAUCGCUCCUGCGGCUGCUGCUUCUAGCACUGCGACCACCACCGUGCGCAGGACUAUUACAGUAGAUGAUUCUUUGCUGUCAACCUUCCUCAAGAUCAGGUAUGCAGACGGCAGCCAUGUGGUUGCGCGCUUCAACACAAGCCACACGAUCAAUGACUUCGACUACACGCUCCAGGUUGGGUUCCUCCCUAAGCCGCUCGAUGAUGCGACCAAGACCAUCGAGGAAGCCGCUGUAACCAACUUGGUGAUCAUCCAGAGAGUCUAA
This 723-nucleotide ribosomal RNA is filed under the name Triticum aestivum (bread wheat). RNAcentral's name for it is "partial small subunit ribosomal RNA". Lineage: Eukaryota; Viridiplantae; Streptophyta; Magnoliopsida; Poales; Poaceae. The record is from RNAcentral.